Molecule: ribosomal RNA, 279 nt
Filed under: uncultured Staphylococcus sp.
Lineage: Bacteria; Bacillati; Bacillota; Bacilli; Caryophanales; Staphylococcaceae
Description: partial 16S ribosomal RNA
Rfam family: Bacterial small subunit ribosomal RNA
Source: RNAcentral
CCUUUGACGUUAGCGGCGGACGGGUGAGUAACACGUGGGUAACCUACCUAUAAGACUGGGAUAACUUAGGGAAACCGGAGCUAAUACCGGAUAAUAUUUCGAACCGCAUGGUUCGAUAGUGAAAGGUGGUUUUGCUAUCACUUAUAGAUGGACCCGCGCCGUAUUAGCUAGUUGGUAAGGUAACGGCUUACCAAGGCGACGAUACGUAGCCGACCUGAGAGGGUGAUCGGCCACACUGGAACUGAGACACGGUCCAGACUCCUACGGGAGGCAGCAGCA